CAGGACGAACGCUGGCGGCGUGCCUAACACAUGCAAGUCGAGCGAGGAGAUCCUUCGGGAUGAUCCUAGCGGCGGACGGGUGAGUAACACGUGGGCAACCUGCCUCAUAGAGAGGAAUAGCCUUCCGAAAGGGAGAUUAAUACCUCAUAACAUUGCAGUUUCGCAUGGAACAGCAAUUAAAGGAGUAAUCCGCUAUGAGAUGGGCCCGCGGCGCAUUAGCUAGUUGGUGAGGUAACGGCUCACCAAGGCGACGAUGCGUAGCCGACCUGAGAGGGUGAUCGGCCACAUUGGGACUGAGACACGGCCCAGACUCCCACGGGAGGCAGCAGUGGGGAAUAUUGCACAAUGGGGGAAACCCUGAUGCCAGCAACGCCGCGUGAGUGAUGACGGCCUUCGGGUUGUAAAGCUCUGUCUUCAGGGACGAUAAUGACGGUACCUGAGGAGGAAGCCACGGCUAACUACGUGCCAGCCGCGGC
RNAcentral lists this ribosomal RNA (476 nucleotides) under uncultured bacterium. RNAcentral's name for it is "bacterial SSU rRNA". It matches the Rfam family "Bacterial small subunit ribosomal RNA", at positions 25 to 518 of the family's 1533-position model. The record is from RNAcentral.